ACCAACUCAAGGUAGGUCAGCUUGCGCUGCGCCUAAUGGCCCCGUGGUAGUAUACACUCCCCACGGCAAUCCACUUCGGCACCCAAUCCCGCACGGGCGAGCAACUGUCGCGUAGGCCAACUCCGGAGUGCCAGCUUGUAGGGAGCUACCCUCACAAGCGUGUGCGAAUGAGCACGAUGGCAAGCAAGCAAAGUCUAUAGCCCAGUAUAUCCUAUUCAGAACGUCAUAGUACCUUCUGUUCUUACUCUCGAUCCAUUGGUCGGCAUUUUCAAUAUAAUAACAAUGACAAUAGCUAGCAUCCACU
RNAcentral lists this long non-coding RNA (304 nucleotides) under Ananas comosus (pineapple). RNAcentral's name for it is "long non-coding RNA (ACOM_LNC009136)". The record is from RNAcentral. Lineage: Eukaryota; Viridiplantae; Streptophyta; Magnoliopsida; Poales; Bromeliaceae.